GACAGAGGGUGCAAACGUUGCUCGGAAUUACUGGGCGUAAAGCGCGUGUAGGCGGGCCCCCAAGUCGGACGUGAAAGCCCUGAGCUCAACUCAGGAACUGCAUCCGAAACUGAGGGCCUGGAGUAGUGGAGAGGGAAGCAGAAUUCCUGGUGUAGAGGUGAAAUUCGUAGAUAUCAGAAGGAACGCCGGUGGCGAAAGCGACUCUCUGGCUCGUAUCUGACGCUGAGGCGCGAAAGCUUGGGUAGCAAACGGG
RNAcentral lists this ribosomal RNA (253 nucleotides) under uncultured bacterium. Its description in RNAcentral is "partial 16S ribosomal RNA". It matches the Rfam family "Bacterial small subunit ribosomal RNA", at positions 524 to 776 of the family's 1533-position model. The record is from RNAcentral.